AUACGUAGGGAGCGAGCGUUGUCCGGAAUUACUGGGCGUAAAGGGCGCGUAGGCGGCGCUUCAAGUCGUCUGUCAAAUGGGAGGGCUUAACCCUUUUUCGCAGACGAAACUGGAGAGCUUGAGAAGCAGAGAGGCAAACAGACUUCCUGGUGUAGCGGUGAAAUGCGUAGAUAUCAGGAAGAAUACCAGUGGCGAAGGCGGUUUGCUGGCUGCAUACUGACGCUGAAGCGCGAAAGCCAGGGGAGCAAACGGGAUUAGAUACCCCGGUAGUCCUGGCAGUAAACGAUGUAUGCUGGGUGUGAGGCUAGCGAUAGUUUCGUGCCGAAGUUAACGCGAUAAGCAUACCGCCUGGGGAGUACGGUCGCAAGAUUGAAACUCAAAGGAAUUGACGGGG
This 394-nucleotide ribosomal RNA is filed under the name uncultured bacterium. Its description in RNAcentral is "partial 16S ribosomal RNA". It matches the Rfam family "Bacterial small subunit ribosomal RNA", at positions 523 to 918 of the family's 1533-position model. The record is from RNAcentral.